Molecule: ribosomal RNA, 373 nt
Filed under: uncultured organism
Description: partial 16S ribosomal RNA
Rfam family: Bacterial small subunit ribosomal RNA
Source: RNAcentral
GUAGGUGGCAAGCGUUGUCCGGAAUUAUUGGGCGUAAAGCGCGCGCAGGCGGUCCUUUAAGUCUGAUGUGAAAGCCCACGGCUCAACCGCGGAGGGUCAUUGGAAACUGGGGGACUUGAGUACAGAAGAGGAAAGCGGAAUUCCAAGUGUAGCGGUGAAAUGCGUAGAGAUUUGGAGGAACACCAGUGGCGAAGGCGGCUUUCUGGUCUGUAACUGACGCUGAGGCGCGAAAGCGUGGGGAGCAAACAGGGAUUAGAUACCCUGGUAGUCCACGCCGUAAACGAUGAGUGCUAAGUGUUAGGGGGUUUCCCGCCCCUUAGUGCUGCAGCUAACGCAUUAAGCACUCCGCCUGGGGAGUACGGCCGCAAGGCUG